GGGAUUGCCCUAGUAACGGCGAGUGAAGCGGCAACAGCUCAAAUUUGAAAUCUGGCCCUCGUGGUCCGAGUUGUAAUUUGUAGAGGAUGCUUUUGGCGCGGUGCCUUCCGAGUUCCCUGGAACGGGACGCCAGAGAGGGUGAGAGCCCCGUACGGUUGGACACCUACCCUAUACAUAGCUCCUUCGACGAGUCGAGUAGUUUGGGAAUGCUGCUCUAAAUGGGAGGUAAAUUUCUUCUAAAGCUAAAUACCGGCCAGAGACCGAUAGCGCACAAGUAGAGUGAUCGAAAGAUGAAAAGCACUUUGAAAAGAGGGUUAAAUAGCACGUGAAAUUGUUGAAAGGGAAGCGUUUGCGACCAGACUUUUUCCAGGCGGAUCAUCCGGUGUUCUCACCGGUGCACUUCGCCUGGUUUAGGCCAGCAUCGGUUCUCUUAGGGGGAUAAAGGCUCGGGGAACGUGGCUCCUUCGGGAGUGUUAUAGCCCCUUGCGUAAUACCCUUCGGGGGACCGAGGAUCGCGCUCUGCAAGGAUGCUGGCGUAAUGGUCGUCAACGACCCGUCUUGAAACACGGACCAAGGAGUCGAACAUUUGUGCGAGUGUUUGGGUGUUAAACCCUCACGCGUAAUGAAAGUGAACGGAGGUGAGAGCCCUUACGGGUGCAUCAUCGACCGAUCCUGAUGUCUUCGGAUGGAUUUGAGUAAGAGCAUAACUGUUCGGACCCGAAAGAUGGUGAACUAUGCGUGGAUAGGGUGAAGCCAGAGGAAACUCUGGUGGAGGCUCGCAGCGGUUCUGACGUGCAAAUCGAUCGUCAAAUCUGCGCAUGGGGGCGAAAGACUAUCGACCAUCAGACUGGACGGGC
This 857-nucleotide ribosomal RNA is filed under the name Hypoxylon sp. Its description in RNAcentral is "partial large subunit ribosomal RNA". It matches the Rfam family "Eukaryotic large subunit ribosomal RNA", at positions 71 to 960 of the family's 3401-position model. Lineage: Eukaryota; Fungi; Ascomycota; Sordariomycetes; Xylariales; Hypoxylaceae. The record is from RNAcentral.